GCAAUUCAUUUUCUUACUAAGAAAAUGAAGCAGGAGGCUGCGGUCUUCUUAAGGCCCAAAUCGGUUUUGGGAUCAAACUGUGCAACACGCCUCACAUGUUUCAUGAAAAAGUACACAGAGUGCCACAGCUCGGUUGUCUUGCUCCCCAGGGGUUGUAAAAUAUUUUUUGUCAACAUCAUGUGGUUUGGUUUGGGUUUUUAGUAAGCUUUGUUUGUAUCCAAGGUAGGAUCUGAAAGCUCUAAAGAAACAGGGAAGAGGGUGGUGAGCCCACAGGCCCCUCGGGAGCUGGGAAGCCACAGCCUGAAGCAGCUUUGGCUCUUUCCCCAGCUCUCCAGUCCCCAGAAUGAUGUGCUCAGAGAUGAGGAGAACCAAAUGCAUCCCUGCUGCAGGGGGGAGAGAAAACGUGAGGAGAAUUGUUCUCUUCUGAGGCCACCGGGCCCCAGCCCCUGGGGUCAGCUCGAGGAUUGGUGUGAAGGGGCGAAGGUUUCCAGAGACGCCUGGCGGUGUUUGGGGACUGGGUUACCAUGGUAACACAACAUGAGCACCAGCCCCCACUGCACUUCCAACAUCAGCACCCUCCCUGAGAUCCCACCGUCUCCCCCGGCAACACGAAACCAACUUGCAGAUGUGUGCAUCUCUUCCUCAAAACGCCUCCCAGGAGGGGCUCUGCUCCACGCGCCCAGGCUGUGUGCUGGGUGUACCAGCCAGGCCACACCUGGCUCGGUCUCCGUAUUCCCUUGCAUUCAAGUGUUAAUCUCAUUCUUUAGAAAAUUCCAGCGGAGAACGAAUGCCCAUCACUAGGGACUGCCUGCACAAAUGAUGGUGUGUCUGAGCAGCCUGAUGCAAUGCACCCAGGGAGAAGGAUGAGGCGGCUUCAUGUACACUGAUACGGAUAAGCCUCAAGACAGAUUGCAGAGCAAGAAAGCCAGGUGCAGACACUGUGGAUAGAAUACUCUUCCAUUAGUUUAAGAAGAUACAUAUAUACACGUGCUCAGACAUACAAAGCAUCUCUCUGGAAGAAUGCAGAAGAAACCCGUAGUGCUGCUUGCCUCUGGGGAGGGAGGCAGAGGUACCCUUUUGUACCUUUGGAAUUAUUGUUUAACUAGAUGCUUGUGUUGCCCAGUCAGCUUAAUAAAUGGAUAAACUAUUAAAAAUCAAUUAGAGAGCUUGCUGUUUAAAUAAAUGUAAUGGAAAACAAAUACUUUUAUAAACAGAGGAGGCUCUCUCCCUCUCUCCUUCAGGCUCAAAGUCAUACUUCGGAAACUUCGGAAGAGGUAAGAACCAAAUAGUGAAGGAAAAUGCAUUCUUCCAGCCUGAUUUCUAGAGUCAAUUGUGCCCUGAGAAUGUGAGGACAGCAUAAAUGUGGUUCCCAACCGUGCAGAACAAACCAGCUGAGAACCCAGUGGGGAAAAGGGGGCAGCUCAGAACUUCACGGACAAAGCACGAAGUGUUGUGUCGGACGACCGGGAAGCUGGGGCGGAGGGCACCAACCGGGGGAUGCCGCUUUCCAAAAGAAGUCCUACACGACGCCGUGGGGGGUUGCUCUCUGCUGUUGUCGAGAAUCCUGGGCGUUCAGGCAAGCAGUUGAGUCCUUUACAACAAAUCCACCUGAUUCCCUGACUCAACACAGCCUCAGCAUGCUUUCCUUCAUUUUAUUUUGGGGGAAAUGCAAAGUGUUGCAGGUGUCAUCCCCUACCCUCCACCUUGCUCUGGCCUGAGCUGUUAUGUCUUUAUUCCCAUGACAGACGGGGAGCCAGUUCAUUGCAGUUGGAUUUGCAAAUCCAGAAUUCCAUGACAGUUCUGAUAGCAGCUGGAUUCACAGUCGGGGUGCCCUUAUACUUGCAUAGUUUACGAAUUAAAACUGACAGAGGUUCCUG
Manis pentadactyla (Chinese pangolin) is the source of this 1877-nucleotide long non-coding RNA. RefSeq lists it as uncharacterized. The record is from RefSeq and is a predicted model, not a curated record. NCBI's taxonomy places the organism in Eukaryota, Metazoa, Chordata, Mammalia, Pholidota, Manidae. The transcript has 2 exons.